GGCCUACCAUGGUGGUAACGGGUAACGGGGUGUUAGGGCACGACACCGGAGAGGGAGCCUGAGAAACGGCUACCACAUCCAAGGAUGGCAGCAGGCGCGCAAAUUACCCAAUCCCGACACGGGGAGGUAGUGACAAUAAAUAACAAUACGGGGUUCUUUUGGAUCUCGUAAUUGGAAUGAGUACAAUUUAAAUCUCUUAACGAGGAACAAUUGGAGGGCAAGUCUGGUGCCAGCAGCCGCGGUAAUUCCAGCUCCAAUAGCGUAUAUUAAAGUUGUUGCAGUUAAAAAGCUCGUAGUUGAAUUUCGGGGUUAGUAAGUUGGUCAUGCCUUCGGUAUGUACUGGCUUUACUGAUUCCUCCUUCUUGACGAACCGUGAUGUCAUUAAUUUGGUGUUGCGGGAAAUCAGGACUGUUACUUUGAAAAAAUUAGAGUGUUUAAAGCAGGCUAACGCUUGAAUACAUUAGCAUGGAAUAAUGAAAUAGGACGUUAAUCCUAUUUUGUUGGUUUCUAGGAUCGACGUAAUGAUUAAUAGGGAUAGUUGGGGGCAUUAGUAUUCAAUUGUCAGAGGUGAAAUUCUUGGAUUUAUUGAAGACUAACUACUGCGAAAGCAUUUGCCAAGGAUGUUUUCAUUAAUCAAGAACGAAAGUUAGGGGAUCGAAGACGAUCAGAUACCGUCGUAGUCUUAACCAUAAACUAUGCCGACUAGGGAUCGGAUGAUGUUAUCUUAAUGACUCAUUCGGCCUUACG
Molecule: ribosomal RNA, 747 nt
Filed under: uncultured Glomus
Lineage: Eukaryota; Fungi; Glomeromycota; Glomeromycetes; Glomerales; Glomeraceae
Description: SSU rRNA
Rfam family: Eukaryotic small subunit ribosomal RNA
Source: RNAcentral